Long non-coding RNA from Tigriopus californicus, 902 nucleotides. RefSeq lists it as uncharacterized. NCBI's taxonomy places the organism in Eukaryota, Metazoa, Arthropoda, Copepoda, Harpacticoida, Harpacticidae. The transcript has 2 exons. The record is from RefSeq and is a predicted model, not a curated record.
AUAAUUUCGACAUAUCAUGGAGGGCUCGAUAUUGAUUGAAGAUUUCUUGGGCAGUUUUGUCCUCCCAUCUUAUCUCAAAGAAUGUUUUGUCAAUGUGAGGAGCUGCAAGUGCACAAAAACAAUGAUCAUAUAGGAACGGAUAGGACAGAUCGUCGAAAAUAUUUCUACUUCAAAGAUAGGAAAACGAGUGGUUCGUUCUAAGGUUUGAUGCACUUCAUGGACCGUGAGCAUUGCAAAUUGCACAUAGCUUCUCGAGGGGCCUUUCAAGCACCGAAUUUGUGAAGUUUAAUCAAGUGGAGUGCAUCUGGCCAAGAAUGCACAUCAAUCGUAAGAGGGUUAUUGCAGUGCAACCCUGAGAUGGAAACUGCCACAAACAACAAACCAGAAUUGUGGACAUAAUGCGGUCAAUGAGGGUGGUCAUCAUGGCGAUAUUUUUUAUCAUGGGCGAUCUUCAAGCCCAAUAUCGUCACCAACGGGAUGCUCCGUGCCUGUCUGUUAUGGAAUGUAUGUCAGCAGUAGGCCGUAGUAUUUCAUUUCGUUACUUAUUAAACAUCAACCAGAUUGCCGAUCGUUGGACCAAAGGAGAUUUACUUGAGGAGGAACGAGAAGCAGAAGUGGAAGCAUUGCGAGCCAAGUUGGUCAAAAAUAAGCAGAUCUCUGCAGAGAAAGUGUCUUUGGAGAAGUUCAAGCAAUCCCUUUUGGAAUCCCGAAUCAAGGAAAUGCGUGGCGAGAAGUAUCAACUGCGCCCAAUUCCGUCUUUGACCGCAUUCUGAAAUCUGAAUGUACUCACCGUACGUGACGCCCUUGGUGCUCUGAGGUUGCUUUUGACCUCGAUACCACGACAGAUUUUGAAUGACUUGAAUCAUGAGAUUGGCUCCCAUUACACUUAGCUUAUCAGUCAA